ACUCUAUAUUAGGAGCAAUGUUGUGUAGUUACAUGUUGAAUAACCAGCCUCGGUGUUACAACUAGUGAUUCCCUUGUCAUUUCCUGAGCUUUACCCUCCAUUUUAAAUUUGGAAAGUAUUUCCUGCAGUCCUAGAGAGAUUUAUCUUGUAUUUGGGUAGGCCUACAAUACAUGUAUAUCACCAGAACGACAUUAGUGUCAGCGAUCGCACAAUCUUUGGAGAUGUUGACAUGACCCUUUGACAAAGACGAGCAAGUUUGGUCAUCAAUUUCAUAGAUGCAAGAAGCUGGUUGCCACAAUAGCGAAGACCCAGGCGUAAAAUUACACAUAAAUGUAGAAAAUUAUAAUCAGUUUCCUAUGAUGAUGAAGUCAUUUGGAAUCAAUGGCCUUUCUUCGAGAAAUAAAACCCGAUACAUUUUUUAUUUCAUGAAUGAAACAAUUGAAUGCAACACAAUAUUAGCCUGAAUCGUUCCCAGACAACACGAUACAAACCAGAAAAUCCUCAUGUACAAGAAGAAUGCUGGUCCUCGACCUGCAAAAUAUUACCUCAUUCUCUGGUGGGAGUGUGAAAACCACGCCGAUCAUUAAAAUCCAUUUCAGAGACUGAAGUAGCAGACCAUCGCUCUUCUUC
Long non-coding RNA from Ostrea edulis (European flat oyster), 630 nucleotides. RefSeq lists it as uncharacterized. The transcript has 2 exons. Lineage: Eukaryota; Metazoa; Mollusca; Bivalvia; Ostreida; Ostreidae. The record is from RefSeq and is a predicted model, not a curated record.